This 773-nucleotide ribosomal RNA is filed under the name uncultured Neocallimastigales. RNAcentral describes it as "partial large subunit ribosomal RNA". It matches the Rfam family "Eukaryotic large subunit ribosomal RNA", at positions 20 to 643 of the family's 3401-position model. The record is from RNAcentral. Lineage: Eukaryota; Fungi; Neocallimastigomycota; Neocallimastigomycetes; Neocallimastigales.
UACUAGAGUAGCACUCGCAUAUCAAUAAGCGGAGGAAAAGAAACUAACAAGGAUUCCCCUAGUAACGGCGAGUGAAGCGGGAAGAGCUCAAAUUUGAAAUCUUAAAGGGUUUCCCUUUACGAAUUGUAGUUUAAAGAAGUGUUUUCUGUUGAGGUUUUGGUAAAAGUUCUUUGGAAUAGGACAUCAUAGAGGGUGAGAAUCCCGUAUUUGACCUUUACUUUCAACUUUGUGAUACACUUUCAAAGAGUCGGAUUGUUUGGGAAUGCAGUCCAAAAUGGGUGGUAAAUUUCAUCUAAAGCUAAAUAUUGGCGAGAGACCGAUAGCGAACAAGUACCGUGAGGGAAAGAUGAAAAGAACUUUGAAAAGAGAGUUAAACAGUACGUGAAAUUGUCAAAAGGGAAGCGUUUGACACCAGUGUUGUUUUUCUGAAAAUCAAUUAAAGAACUGUUUAUGCUAAGUUGUUUAGACUUUAUCAGCUAUCUGCUUAGUUUUGAGCUUUUCUUUAAUGCACUUUUCAGUUAACAAGUCAACAUCAAUUUCUUUUGCUGUAAAAAAGCUUGAGGAAGGUGGCUUGAGAUUCGUCUUAAGUGUUUAUAGCCUCUUGCCUAUGCAGUCGGAGAGAUUGAGGUCUGCAGCGUAGAUCCUUCGGGGCUAAAUGCAUUUGUGCUAAGUUAUAGCAUUUUAUAGACAACUUGUUGACUAUGAUUUGUCUUGUAGCUUACUCGCUUAUGUUAUUUUACCUACGCUUAGGAUGUUGAACUACUGAGACAUAG